RNAcentral lists this ribosomal RNA (254 nucleotides) under uncultured bacterium. RNAcentral's name for it is "partial 16S ribosomal RNA". It matches the Rfam family "Bacterial small subunit ribosomal RNA", at positions 524 to 776 of the family's 1533-position model. The record is from RNAcentral.
UACGUAGGGUGCGAGCGUUAAUCGGAAUUACUGGGCGUAAAGCGUGCGCAGGCGGUCUGUUAAGACCGAUGUGAAAUCCCCGGGCUUAACCUGGGAACUGCAUUGGUGACAGGCAGGCUUUGAGUGUGGCAGAGGGAGGUAGAAUUCCACGUGUAGCAGUGAAAUGCGUAGAGAUGUGGAGGAAUACCGAUGGCGAAGGCAGCCUCCUGGGCCAACACUGACGCUCAUGCACGAAAGCGUGGGGAGCAAACAGG